This is a long non-coding RNA of Camelus dromedarius (Arabian camel), 796 nucleotides long. RefSeq lists it as uncharacterized. The transcript has 3 exons. Lineage: Eukaryota; Metazoa; Chordata; Mammalia; Artiodactyla; Camelidae. The record is from RefSeq and is a predicted model, not a curated record.
GGCUUUUGUAGGGGAGGAACUGGGGAAGCUGCUGCGUUAUCCCUGCCUCUCCCCUGUCACCUCAAGUGUCCUUGUGCCCCCAGCUAUUUCCUCCCAUUUGCCUGAUUUUAUUAGAGGCAAUUUCUCCUUGACUUUCACCGUUGAUGGCUCUGAGAGUCCACUGACAAUUGCAGAGACUCUCAGGAAUGGGCAGGCUUUAUCUGCAUCCCUGCCAGGAGCCAGUUUCUCCAGGGCCUUACGCUCCUGGCCUGGGAGCCUGGAGGUGGCAUUCCUUGCAGGAGGGGACAGCCAGGGACAGGGAGGAACAGGGCUGCUGGCGGUGUGUUUCUGCCGUGUGUCCCUGGACCUCUGGGUUUGCGUGGCAGCAGCUCAGCCUGAGGCUAAGGGCGAGGGAGACAAGCCUGGGCAUGUCUGGUGGGGCAGGCUGGCCAGGAGCCCGAUUGCAUUAAGACUGCAGAGAUCCUUGGGAACCUCCACUGGACCAGAGGCAUGGCUGUCUCUGACUUCCAGCGUGAGAUGCUGCUGCAUGCACGUUCCUGAAGUCCUACAACAACAACGUGACAAAGAAGUGAUUCCUGCUUGGAGUUGGAGUAUCUGAGUGGAAGGAUCCCAGCUGCUCAGCAUCAGACAGACCUGGCUUCCAAGACUGGUUCUGCCGCUCCCUAUGUGACCCUGGAGAAUUUCCUUCACCUUUCUGAAUCUCAGUUUUCUCAUCUAUAAGAUGGCCAUACUUACCUGGCAGGGUUUGGUUGGCAUUGAGUGAAACAAUGUAAUAAAAGAUGAAAAAAAGAUCAAA